This 377-nucleotide ribosomal RNA is filed under the name uncultured Planctomycetota bacterium. RNAcentral's name for it is "bacterial SSU rRNA". It matches the Rfam family "Bacterial small subunit ribosomal RNA", at positions 521 to 896 of the family's 1533-position model. Lineage: Bacteria; Pseudomonadati; Planctomycetota. The record is from RNAcentral.
UAAUACGGAGAGUGCAAGCGUUGUUCGGAAUUAUUGGGCUUAAAGAGCGUGUAGGCGGGAUAUCAGGUGUCGUGUGAAAGCCCCGGGCUCAACCCGGGAAUGGCAUGGCAAACCGGUAUUCUUGAGGCAGGUAGAGGUGACUGGAACGACUGGUGGAGCGGUGAAAUGCGUGGAUAUCAGUUGGAACGCCAGAGGCGAAAGCGAGUCACUGGACCUGUCCUGACGCUGAGACGCGAAAGCGUGGGGAGCAAACAGGAUUAGAUACCCUGGUAGUCCACGCCGUAAACGAUGCGCACUAGGUAUGAGAGGUUCUGACGCCGAUCGUGCCGUAGCAAAAGUGAUAAGUGCGCCGCCUGGGGAGUACGGCCGCAAGGCUA